Molecule: ribosomal RNA, 461 nt
Filed under: Vignadula atrata
Lineage: Eukaryota; Metazoa; Mollusca; Bivalvia; Mytilida; Modiolidae
Description: Xenostrobus atratus partial 16S ribosomal RNA
Rfam family: Bacterial large subunit ribosomal RNA
Source: RNAcentral
UUCUUUAAGUAGAUUUAAAGUAGGCCCUGCCCACUGCGUAAGUAAAGGGCCGCAUUAGCCUGAGUGUGCUAAGGUAGCGCGAUAAUUUGCCUUUUAAUUGGAGGCUGGUAUGAAAGGGUUGACGUGGGGGAUUCUGUGUCGGAUGAAUGUAAUUGAAGUUAAUUUUAAGGUGAAGAAGCCUUAAUACCCUAGAAGGACGAUAAGACCCUAGAAGCUUCGUUUUUUAUUUUGUAAUUUAGUUUUGUUGGGGCAACAGGGCUAGUAACUAUGGCUCUUAGGUUAGACUUUCCUACUGGAGUGAGACUGCUGAGGUAUGAGUGGUUAAGUUACUUUAGGGAUAACAGCGUUAUUUCUUUUGAUAGUUCGUAUUGGAAAAGAAGUUUGCGACCUCGAUGUUGAAUUAAGGUGUCCUUUAGUUGUAGGAGACUAAAAAGGUUGGUCUGUUCGCCCAUUAAAACCUU